GAGGAAUAUUGGUCAAUGGUCGGAAGACUGAACCAGCCAUGCCGCGUGCAGGAAGAAGCAUCUAUGGUGUGUAAACUGCUUUUGUACGGGAAGAAACACUCCUACGUGUAGGAGCUUGACGGUACCGUAAGAAUAAGGAUCGGCUAACUCCGUGCCAGCAGCCGCGGUAAUACGGAGGAUCCAAGCGUUAUCCGGAAUCAUUGGGUUUAAAGGGUCCGUAGGCGGUUGAAUAAGUCAGUGGUGAAAUCCGGCAGCUUAACUGUCGAACUGCCAUUGAUACUGUUUAACUUGAAUUACUGUGAAGUAACUAGAAUAUGUAGUGUAGCGGUGAAAUGCUUAGAUAUUACAUGGAAUACCAAUUGCGAAGGCAGGUUACUAAUGGUUUAUUGACGCUGAUGGACGAAAGCGUGGGGAGCGAAC
Molecule: ribosomal RNA, 420 nt
Filed under: uncultured bacterium
Lineage: Bacteria
Description: bacterial SSU rRNA
Rfam family: Bacterial small subunit ribosomal RNA
Source: RNAcentral